RNAcentral lists this transfer RNA (892 nucleotides) under Rosa chinensis. RNAcentral describes it as "sRNA RchiOBHm_Chr7g0205321". The stretch from base 819 to 891 matches the Rfam family "tRNA". The record is from RNAcentral. Lineage: Eukaryota; Viridiplantae; Streptophyta; Magnoliopsida; Rosales; Rosaceae.
CGAUUUCGAGAGUUUGAUCGGAAUCAGAGCCGAGGUUGCUCAGACUGAGCCGCUCGGUCUCCAAUUCCUCCUCUGAUUUCCCCGAUUCCUGCUCCGAAACCCUCAAUUUCUUCGACGGCGGCAAAGACUCCUCCGAACUCCCUUCCAUCGACAAAUCCCUCUUCGAAACCCUAAAUUCCACCGAUUCCGCCUCCGAAGUCACCAGAUCAGCAUCCCGCCCCAAAUCCACAGCGCCGUCGCCUUCCUCGCCGCAACCACCGACGACCACGAUGACGCCGCUCCCAUCUCCUAUAUCUCCAACUCCCUCGAAAUCACGAUAGUUGUCAUCGCCGAUCUGAUCAAGAUCGAGCAAGGGAGUCUUCUCCUGGGAGGUUCCGACGAGCGAGGACUCCGGCGGGGUCUCGAAAACGUCCUGGUCGGCGCUGCUCUUGUCCUCGGCUGCAUCCUCAUCGAAACUGUCGGGGAGAGAGAGCAUGACGAUUCCGGCGGUGGCUGCCGGAAUAGUAGUACUGGAAUCGGAAGAUGAGUCGGUACUGGAGUAGUCAUCGUCCAUGAGGUCGGUGUUUUGGGAGUGAAAGGGGGAGCCAGACUGCAGGCUCGAUUUUUUGUUUUAUAGUGUCUAGGAAUUUUUUAUUUUUUUCUUAUUUUGUUGAAUGGUGUUUUGAGUUUUGACUUUUGGGAGAUUCCCGCCCAUUUGGUAAUCAACGGUGGAUGAUAACUUAUAAAUUUGGACUGGGCGGGCUUUUGCUCUUUUUGAUAUUCCCGCUCAUUUUAAAUUUUAGAGACUUCUAGCAUACAAGUGACAUCUUUGACAAGCAGCCCGUCUAGCUCAGUUGGUAGAGCGCAAGGCUCUUAACCUUGUGGUCGUGGGUUCGAGCCCCACGGUGGGCGC